UGAAGCUGAGUGCCCAACUUGUCUGUUUUUGUUAACAACAGUUGGGGAAAAAGUUUCAAUUUUGUGUAACAAACUCUUUACUCAACUUGUUAAUUACUUAAUUGUGAUUGGCAAGUUGCAGUGGUAUCAAGUGAAGUAGCAAUACUGAUCUUGGUCAAAGGAAAAAUGUUACCUGGUUGAUUCUGCCA
Molecule: unclassified non-coding RNA, 188 nt
Filed under: Puccinia graminis f. sp. tritici
Lineage: Eukaryota; Fungi; Basidiomycota; Pucciniomycetes; Pucciniales; Pucciniaceae
Description: partial contains 28S-18S ribosomal RNA intergenic spacer and small subunit ribosomal RNA
Source: RNAcentral